CGCCCUCGACCGAGCGCACGGCCCGGUUGCCCGGCGUCGCGGUGCCUCAGAUGGAAACACUAAGGACGGCAGCACGGACGGUUGGCGCGAGAGGCCAGAUCGUUCCUGGUGAAGCAACUCGUACCUGGGUUUCUCGCGGCGGCCCUGGACCCUGUGGUGGACCACGCCUUCCAUCACCCGCUACUCGUGUUCCAGGCUAAAGAAGACUAGAAAGGCCAGAGGAUCAGUGCGAUCUAAAAGAAAAAGAAAAAGAAAAAAGCACCACCAAGCUGUCCUGGUACCUGGAUUUCAGACUUCUCAGGUAACUCAGAAGCCUCAGAUCGUCUCCACUUUCAUAAAGGAUGCCAGACUAGAUUUUUAUCUAAAGACCCCCACAUCUUUAAAAUUCUAUGUUUAGAUUCUCCAUUAUUUCUCCUCUACUCAUGCAUGUCAGAUUAUAAUCUUUCUCUAAGGGGUAGAAGGAAGUAGAGACUAUAUGCAGUCCUUUUUUUUUUUUCUAUUAAAUUCUUGCACUUUCUCUCAACAAAGAUAAUUUCUAUCUUUGGGGAAAAUUUCAUCUUUCCUCACAUUUAUGAAUUGACCGCUUUAAAACUCGAUGUCAUAUGUGUGUUUGCUUUAUUAAUGAUUAGCAACAACUUUAAAUAGAAAUCUUAUUCAAGUUCAAAGUUGUUAAUCACUUACCAAAGAAAGGAAUAUUUUGUUAAGAAAUUUGCAAAGAAAAAAAAAAAAAAAAGAAA
Canis lupus familiaris (dog) is the source of this 737-nucleotide long non-coding RNA. RefSeq lists it as uncharacterized. The record is from RefSeq and is a predicted model, not a curated record. Lineage: Eukaryota; Metazoa; Chordata; Mammalia; Carnivora; Canidae. The transcript has 2 exons.